UCCUUUAGUAGCGGCGAGCGAACAGGAAAUAGCCCAGCACUGAAUCCCGCCGUUGUAACGGCGGCGGGAGAUGUGGUGUUCGGGAGGUUCCGCUUUCUUGUCGUCGUCCACUCCUGUCCAAGUUCGUCUUGAACGGGGCCCAUUUCCCAUAGAGGGUGCCAGGCCCGUAGCGACGGAGGACGGCGGCGAGAGGAACUCUCCUCAGAGUCGGGUUGCUUGAGAGUGCAGCCCUAAGUGGGUGGUAAACUCCAUCUAAGGCUAAAUAUUACCGCGAGACCGAU
RNAcentral lists this ribosomal RNA (281 nucleotides) under Perizoma taeniatum. RNAcentral describes it as "partial 28S ribosomal RNA". It matches the Rfam family "Eukaryotic large subunit ribosomal RNA", at positions 76 to 338 of the family's 3401-position model. The record is from RNAcentral. Lineage: Eukaryota; Metazoa; Arthropoda; Insecta; Lepidoptera; Geometridae.